This 545-nucleotide ribosomal RNA is filed under the name Imleria badia. RNAcentral's name for it is "eukaryotic LSU rRNA". The stretch from base 154 to 308 matches the Rfam family "5.8S ribosomal RNA". The record is from RNAcentral. Lineage: Eukaryota; Fungi; Basidiomycota; Agaricomycetes; Boletales; Boletaceae.
UCGCUGGCGAAGCAUGUGCACGUCCAACCUUUUCUAUUACACACCCGUGCACCUUUUGUAGGUCCUCGAAAGAGGAUCUAUGUAUUUCAUCAUCACACCUAUCGUAUGUCUAGAAUGUCAUCGUCGACCACUGGGCGGCGAAAUAAAUAAUACAACUUUCAGCAACGGAUCUCUUGGCUCUCGCAUCGAUGAAGAACGCAGCGAAUUGCGAUAAGUAAUGUGAAUUGCAGAUUUUCAGUGAAUCAUCGAAUCUUUGAACGCACCUUGCGCUCCUUGGUAUUCCGAGGAGCAUGCCUGUUUGAGUGUCAUUAAAUUCUCAACCAUGACUUUGUUGACAUGGCUUGGAGUUGGGGGUUGCUGGCUUGUUUGUCAGCUCUCCUGAAAUACAUUAGCGGUGGACAAGCAAGGCCUUCCGACGUGAUAAUGAUCGUCGUGGGGCGGAGCAUCAACGUCUGUCUGCUUCUAAAUCCCAGAUGCCUUAGCUAGACAUCAUUUCGAACGCUUGACCUCAAAUCAGGUAGGACUACCCGCUGAACUUAAGCAUA